AGUCAAAGAUAUAUUGGCAGUGCCUAUAUCUAUAGUUGCUUCAGAAUCAACCUUUAGCAUUGUAGAUACAGUACUUGCUCCUUUUUAAGAUUUCUUUAACUCCUAAAAUAAUUAAAGCCUUAAUAUGCACACAGGAUUUGUUGCCGAAAUCUCAUUACUGCAAAUCCAUUGAAGAACAAAUAUCAGACCUUGAAAGGCUUGAAGAGGGU
RNAcentral lists this unclassified non-coding RNA (209 nucleotides) under Hevea brasiliensis (rubber tree). Lineage: Eukaryota; Viridiplantae; Streptophyta; Magnoliopsida; Malpighiales; Euphorbiaceae. The record is from RNAcentral.